Molecule: transfer RNA, 74 nt
Filed under: Candidatus Zapsychrus exili
Lineage: Bacteria; Pseudomonadati; Candidatus Omnitrophota
Description: tRNA-Arg
Rfam family: tRNA
About the family: Transfer RNA (tRNA) molecules are approximately 80 nucleotides in length. Their secondary structure includes four short double-helical elements and three loops (D, anti-codon, and T loops).
Source: RNAcentral
GCGCCUGUAGCUCAGAUGGAUAGAGCGACUGCCUCCUAAGCAGUAGGCCACACGUUCGACUCGUGUCAGGCGCA